Molecule: long non-coding RNA, 2638 nt
Organism: Mustela lutreola (European mink)
Lineage: Eukaryota; Metazoa; Chordata; Mammalia; Carnivora; Mustelidae
Exons: 3
Source: RefSeq, a predicted model, not a curated record
UACUGGGUAGAAUUUUGUAUUGCUUUUUGUUUGAAUGACAUUUGGCUCUUAGGAAUUUCCUAUGAGAAAUGUGCUGCCUUUGAUAAGACAAAUACUGAGAAGAAACCAGAAGGCUGUUGAUCUAUUGCUGCAUAUGAGUUUACUGAAAUAACCCUUCCACCUUGUCAUUCCGUGGCUUCCCCAUGUUCUUCCUUCACAAAUUUCUCGUCUUUCUCCAUUCAUUUCCCCUCGUGGAAACCCUCUGCUCACACCUACACAAGCAAACAUAUGGACUGAAGGAUCAAAUUUUCUUAUCAGGUUCAUUCCCACCCCUGAUUCGGGUCUCAAUUUUAAGAAAUUCAACAUGAACCGUUCAUGUCAGCCUCCAAGGAACACCACUCAAGGAUGAGUGAGGUGCUGGGCACAGAGGGAUGAAUUAGGGGAUGAAGCAGAGUUCCUGCUCCCAGGAAACUCACAAUACGGUGAUGUCCUGUGGAAAGUGAAAUCCAGAGAGAUCAAAUGAUUUUCUUGUGAGACUGCACUGAUUUUAAACCACAGAAGUAGGACUACAGUGAACUCAACCUCCACCACGUACACGAUUCCUCUCACUGAUUUACAUGAUGUCCAUAUGUGUAUAAGGAAUUUAUAUAUAUCUGAAUUUCUCUUAAAAAAAAAAAGUGGUAUCAAAAAUUGGACUCAUCCCUUCGAGUGGGUUCAAAAUAUGGUAGAAUUCUGAUAGUCUGCUGACUAUUGGAUGCUACAUUUCUCUAAGUGCCAACAAAGACUCCCCUUUUGCAUUUUGAUGGUGUCUCUUCUCAGUGGUGAUUUUUCGUAAGCACAUGCAUUUAUGCUGGCAAUGCUAGCAAGCCAGUUCUCCUCUUUCUGUAUCCUGUGUGCGUGUGUGUGUGUGUGUGUGUGUAUGUGUGUGUGUGUAUGUAUGUAGAGAGAGAGCACAAGCAGGGGAAAAGGCAGAGGGAGAGGAAGAAGCAGACUCCCCGCCAAGUAGGGUGCCCAAUGCGGAGCUCUAUCCCAGGACCUGGAGAUCAUGACCUGAGCCCAAGGCAGAUGCCCAACCUUCUGACCCAGGCAGGUACCCCAACUGUAUCAUGUGUUUAAUUUGUGAAAUUGCAUUCAAACCUCAGGGCAUCAGAGUGUCGGAGGAUAAAGUUGCUUUAGUAAUUUAUAUCACUAAGGAAAAAGAAAGUGAAUUAUACUGUAAAAAUGAAGACCUUUCCAAUUAGUGUAUAAUCUAAGCCUUAACUGCCUACUAAAAACAUUUUUCUCACAGUGUCGAAAACUUUUCCAAAGGUUUUCCAUUUUAAGUAGAACUUUUCAGGUACAGAUGCGUUCUGAACCACAUUCUUUCUGGCUGGAGGACCCCAGCAUUCUAACUGUCCCAUGAGACACUUCACAUCUUGGCAAAAACUGAAACAUACCAGAAUUUUUAGGGAAAAUAGUUCUAAAACUGUCUUACAAGGCCAAUGCUACAUCUAUAUAUGAGCAAGCUUUAAUGGUCUUUGAAAGCAUGGGUUCGUUUCUGUAAGACACUUAAUUGUUUCAGAUCGUUUGUUCACCUAACACAGAAUUUUAAGAGGGCUUACAAUAUCUGAGUGGUAUCAACUUAUUCUUUCUCUAUUUGUGGUCCAUAAUGAUAAUAAACAAAUAACAGUGUUCUCAUUCUAAGAAAUGCAGGUCCCGGGCAGCCAAUGAAUCCUCACUAUUUUAUUACCUAAAAGGAAAGUUGGCUCAUUUAUUCCAGAUUAAUCAGGUAGCUUUGUUUUUCUGUUUUCUAUAUUAAUCACAUCUUUCUUAAAGAAUGCGAUCUUGAAACAUACAUGCACACAAAGCAGAGUCUCUUCAUCUGUAAGAGAAAGGAAAAAAAAACCUGUUAAGGACAGUAUUACAGGUUUCGGGCCUAAGCAUAGCUAUUUUAAAAACAUAUGGAAACACAAAUGAGCAUUAGAAAAUUUAAUGCAAAUGUAAGAUAAUUUUUAUAAUUAUUUUCUGCAAUGCUUCACCUUUUGUAAUACGGUAAUAUAAGGGCGCUUGCUUUACUUUAAAAAACAAUGCAUUGUGUAUAAAGCAGAAAGCAUGCAUAGCAGCUCUGUUUAGAAGAUAACAAAGUACCAUGUAAAAGGCCUCUGUGUACUUAGCCCACCCACCAACUCGAGGGAGAGCUUAAAAGAAAAAGGAGCGUCCAGUCCACGGAGCUGUUACCACAAUGUCAAGCCCGGGAUUUUAUUUUCUAAACAGUGCUCCCCAACUGGGGUCUUAGAGCAAUUACUCAAUACUUUUUUCAGGGAGGUACCUGAUUUGAAAAUUCAAUCCAACGUAAAUGUCCUUGGUUUUUGUUUUGUUUCUAAAAUGUGUUUCCCCUGACAGAAAGGGGUGAACUAGAUGAAGAGAUGGUAAGAAGCCAUCACUCUAUACCUUUUGCAUUCUGUGCUCUAACGUUCACAUUCUUUUGUUGUUUGUCUAUGGAAGAGAGGGUGCUGGAGGGAAUUUGGCCCCAGGUAAAAAAGACUAGAACAAGUUCCCUCAGCUUACACCUGACAGAGUGUAUGAUGAUCUAGUUUUUCUGACUUUCUGACUUUUCUGACUUUUGGGUUUCUGCUUUCUCUGUUAAACAACACUGGGUACAUAAUAUUGUAUUUUGUCA